AGUGAACGCUGGCGGUAGGCCUAACACAUGCAAGUCGAACCGCUGCACAGUAAGAGCUUGCUCUUACGGGUGGCGAGUGGCGGACGGGUGAGGAAUACAUCGGAAUCUACUUUUUCGUGGGGGAUAACGUAGGGAAACUUACGCUAAUACCGCAUACGACCUACGGGUGAAAGCAGGGGAUCUUCGGACCUUGCGCGAUUGAAUGAGCCGAUGUCGGAUUAGCUAGUUGGCGGGGUGAAGGCCCACCAAGGCGACGAUCCGUAGCUGGUCUGAGAGGAUGAUCAGCCACACUGGAACUGAGACACGGUCCAGACUCCUACGGGAGGCAGCAGUGGGGAAUAUUGGACAAUGGGCGCAAGCCUGAUCCAGCCAUACCGCGUGGGUGAAGAAGGCCUUCGGGUUGUAAAGCCCUUUUGUUGGGAAAGAAAAGCAGCAGGUUAAUACCCCGCUGUUCUGACGGUACCCAAAGAAUAAGCACCGGCUAACUUCGUG
Molecule: ribosomal RNA, 492 nt
Filed under: uncultured bacterium
Lineage: Bacteria
Description: partial 16S ribosomal RNA
Rfam family: Bacterial small subunit ribosomal RNA
Source: RNAcentral